RNAcentral lists this ribosomal RNA (464 nucleotides) under Vreelandella stevensii. Its description in RNAcentral is "partial 16S ribosomal RNA". It matches the Rfam family "Bacterial small subunit ribosomal RNA", at positions 338 to 795 of the family's 1533-position model. The record is from RNAcentral. Lineage: Bacteria; Pseudomonadati; Pseudomonadota; Gammaproteobacteria; Oceanospirillales; Halomonadaceae.
CCUACGGGAGGCUGCAGUGGGGAAUAUUGGACAAUGGGGGGAACCCUGAUCCAGCCAUGCCGCGUGUGUGAAGAAGGCCCUCGGGUUGUAAAGCACUUUCAGUGAGGAAGAACGCCUGGUGGUUAAUACCCAUCAGGAAAGACAUCACUCACAGAAGAAGCACCGGCUAACUCCGUGCCAGCAGCCGCGGUAAUACGGAGGGUGCGAGCGUUAAUCGGAAUUACUGGGCGUAAAGCGCGCGUAGGUGGCUUGAUAAGCCGGUUGUGAAAGCCCCGGGCUCAACCUGGGAACGGCAUCCGGAACUGUCAAGCUAGAGUGCAGGAGAGGAAGGUAGAAUUCCCGGUGUAGCGGUGAAAUGCGUAGAGAUCGGGAGGAAUACCAGUGGCGAAGGCGGCCUUCUGGACUGACACUGACACUGAGGUGCGAAAGCGUGGGUAGCAAACAGGAUUAGAUACCCGGUAGUC